Molecule: signal recognition particle RNA, 259 nt
Filed under: Vombatus ursinus (common wombat)
Lineage: Eukaryota; Metazoa; Chordata; Mammalia; Diprotodontia; Vombatidae
Description: Metazoan signal recognition particle RNA (ENSVURG00010020954.1)
Rfam family: Metazoan signal recognition particle RNA
About the family: The signal recognition particle (SRP) is a universally conserved ribonucleoprotein. It is involved in the co-translational targeting of proteins to membranes.
Source: Rfam by way of RNAcentral
GCCAGGCAUGGUGGCAUAGGCUUGCAAUCCCAGCUACCAGCGAGGCAGAAGCAAUCAGGUCUUUUGGGAAUUCUAAGCUGACUGGGUGUCAGCACCAAGUCUGGCAUCCACAGAAUGAGCCCCUGGCACUGGGGGGCACCAGGUUGUCAAAGGAAGCUUGAACCAACUCAGGCCGGAAAGAGAGCAAGUUAAAGGGCCUGUACAGUCAGCUGUGGGAUAGGGCCUAUGAGUAGCAAUACACUUCCAGCCUGGGCAAGAU